RNAcentral lists this unclassified non-coding RNA (5990 nucleotides) under Penaeus japonicus. RNAcentral describes it as "wD repeat and FYVE domain-containing protein 2-like, transcript variant X3". The record is from RNAcentral. Lineage: Eukaryota; Metazoa; Arthropoda; Malacostraca; Decapoda; Penaeidae.
UCGCUGAAACCCGAGUCACAUGACCAAGAGCAAUGGCUGCUGAGAUCAAGCCACUCCGGAGCUCAGGCCCGACCAAGGCUGUGAGUACAGACAAGCCAGUGCUCGUGUCCAAAAUCGAGGGCAGUGGCGACGACGUGAAUGCAGCGGUGUUGAUAGAUUCGGGCACUGGGGUGAUCUCCGUGAGCGAUGACAAGUCAGUACGCAUAUGGCAGCGACGGGACUCGGGCCAGUAUUGGCCAAGCGUUUGCCACUUUUUGCCUUCGAUACCCAGUUGUUUCCACUACACACCUGACAAUAGACGCAUGUUCAUAGGCCUCGACAAUGGCACAGUCACGGAAUUUGAAGUAGCGUCCGACUACAACAGCAUCAGACACAAGCGCGACUACCUAAGCCACCAGAACCGAGUGACGGGCGUGAUCUUCUGCCCCUCUGCAGAAUGGGUCCUCUCGGUUGCGCGGGACAAGUUCUUCGUCUACCACUGCACGGAGAGCGGGCGUCGGCUGGGAGGGCAUCAGUCCUCGGGCUGGUGCACGGCUCUCCAGUACGACUACAAGAGUAAACAUGUUUUUGUGGGCGAUUACAGUGGACAGAUUACUAUGCUCAAGUUGGAGGAGAGCGGGCCACAAGUUAUUACUGUACUUAAGGGACACAAUGGCUCCAUUAGAUCACUCGCCUGGGAUAUAGACAGACAGCUACUCUUCUCGGGCUCCUAUGACCAGUCAGUCAUUGUGUGGGACAUCGGAGGAGGGAAAGGAACGGCCUUUGAACUGCAAGGACACACGAGUAAGGUAUCAUCACUUGUCUACGGGACUGUAAGUCACCAGCUGAUCUCAGGCGGAGAAGAUGCUACUGUUGUAUUCUGGGACAUGAAGGCUAACAGACAAGAGACACCAGAGUGGAUAGAAGCUGAUUCUUGCCAAUACUGUGACCGUCCCUUUUUCUGGAAUAUCCGUGCCAUGAUGGAUCAAAAACAAAUUGGGCUGCGGCAACACCACUGCAGAAAAUGUGGUAAGGCUGUGUGUGACAGCUGCAGCAGCAAGCGAUCAACUAUCCCAGUCAUGGGUUUCGAGUUUGAUGUUCGAGUAUGUGAUAAUUGCCAUUCCACCAUUUCUGAUCUGGAUGUUAGUGGAGAAAAGCGGGCAUCACUUGCAAAGUUUCACGAGGUGAAGCACAACAUUGUUUGUAUGGACUUGGACGAAGAAGCAGGUCUUCUCCUCACUGUUGGGCAAGAUCGAGUAAUGAAAAUGUGGGAUGUCUCAAGCUUGCUGAAUUGAUCUGAAGUGUAUGUCUCCUUUGGAUCGUAUGAUUCAUUGUCCCGCGCUGAGGUCCAAGUGCUGACAGCAGCUGAUCUUCGCAUUCCAUGACUACUUAUUGUGUGUAAUGAUGAUAUUGUAUGUGAAUGAAAAUAAGAACCAUUUAUAAUCCUCCUCAUAAUGCUGUCACGUUCCAUAGGCCUUACACAAGUUAUGGACUCUAAAUUUGAACAAUACUAGAAAUUUAUUGCCUUAUCAUAGGCUGUAUUUGUGUAUUUGUGAUACAUUAUUUUUGUAGUAUUUUAUUUUUUGACUUGUUUCUGUUCAGAAGAAAUUUGGUUUUGCAUUAAGUAUAUUUUCAGAGGCUGUGUAAGUUUUUGGACAAUUUUUUUUGACAAGACGCACAUUAUUGCUUCGGUUGAUAGAGAUACAGAGAGAAAGAAUGAAAAAGAGGUAUUGAUCUUGCAAAAAGAGAAGUGCUGGUGGUAUAGCCUUAUCGCCCCUCCUUGUAGCUAUGUCGACGGACCUGAGGUGUGUGUAAAUUGUCUUAUGCAUUACUGUACUUGCAGAUGAACUCAUUGUGUGAAAUUGUACUCUUGUCAUAAGAAGGACUGGUGUAACAUCAUUCAAAUCUUUGUCAUGAUAUAUAAUUCAGUGUAAGUUCUAUAAGUUCACAAGUCGAUUUUCCAACAUAGAUGUGUUGAUUUCUGCGAGAAUAAUUCAACAGCUGUAAUUUGAACAGGUGAUAUAUUUUUUAGAUUAUAUGAAUUGAUAUUUAUAGGAAUUAUAUUUUUAUGUAUAUUGGCUUAGGAAGAUGUAACACAAAAAGGUGCUACCAUCUAAAAGAUGUAGAGCAAGUUUGAAGUCAUAUUGGACAAUAAGUAGAUUUAUAGAAGAGGAAUGACAUUUCAGGAGAACAAUUUUUAGUGUUAUAGUUGUAUAUGAUUUUUUUCUCCUUUCCUUUCUUAUAAUAGAUGAAAUUUAGAAAGCCCUUUUUUCUGCUAUGAUUUUUUUUUUCUUUCUCUUUACUCAUGGUUUGAAUUGUAUAAAAAAAAAAAAAAAAUCCAAGAUCACAGGUCAAAGAUUCUCUAAUAUUGAGAUUUUUUCUUCAAAAUUACCUAAAUUCUUUGACCAAAAUAGAAAACAAAGGUCCUUCUCCACUGCCAACAACUCAGUGGGUGCUUCUAUUGGCAUCUGAUAUUGUGUGUUAAUUUUUUUCACUUUUACUUUUCUAAAAUGACAUGUGACAGUAUAACUCUUCUGUUUUAGCUUUAUUGUGAAUGGGGAACACUCUCUUCUCCGUUUCCUUAUUCUUUUGUUUGUCUUUCAUAUAACCAUCUGUAUAUUGGAUAAUAGGCGUGGUGUAUAGGAUUCAUGUGCUAUGCUGCCUCAUCAAGGUUGAAUAUCGAAUAGCACUGAUGAAAGGUCUUCUCAUGAACCCAAACAAUGGGAUCGUUUCUGGAUUGACGUCAAGUUACCACUACCAUCUCUACAAAUGUUAUGGGACUGUAUUCUUUGGUAUCUGCUGAAGAAGAAAGUAACGAGUGUGUGUUAUUGAGACCUUGUUAAGAAGAGAGGGUCAGCUAUAUUAGAUACGAGUGCAUUUGUGCAGCAGCAUUUACACAAUCUGUAAGGAAUCACUUGAGAUAUUUUCCAUGACUUGAAAGAUGCAGGAGAAUUUGAUUUGGGAAGUCCUUAUCACUUAAUUGUGUCAUUACUCAUCUUGAUGUGUGAGUUUUUUUAUUAUAAUUAUUUUCUUAGCUGUUCCCAUGAAAUGGCCUCUGCUACAAGAAAGGGAGGAGGAGGAGGAAAUGAACUAGUCAGCUCUGCCAAUGGAGAAAGUGGUAGCUAGUCAGACAAAAGAGUGAUAUUUAUUGUAUGGUUCCUUUAAACCUGCAAAAGUUAUUAGUACUGUAGAUCCAUUAUUUUUUUCUCCUUUUGUGGUUUGGUUACUCUUUUUCUUGUUGGACAAAAUUUAGAGGAGUUGUGGCUUACUCUGCAAAGUUAUUUAAUGCUAAUAUGGUCUUUUAUCUUUUAUGUGUAUAUGAUUGAUUCAGCAUUAUGUGAUGGAGAGUUCUAGAUUAGAUUACAUUUCUGGAAAAGGUUCUUCAAAAUGGCUCUUGUUGUUUCGAUUCUUUUCAUUUUUUUUUUUUUUUUUUUUUUUUUCCUGUCUGAAUUCUUGCAAGUGAUACUGAUUAAUACUGCACUCUCUCAUUAAAAUGUUAUAUAUAUAUAUACACAUAAUAAAAUAUUGUGAUUGAAAACAAAUAAAAUGGAGCUGUGUUUCAAAGGUUGAUAUGUAUGUAAUGCAUCUGUUUGUGAAAUAAUGAAAUUUUUUUUUCCUUAGAAGAGUAUAAAAUAAUUGAAAUUUUUGGAGGAGAUUGUUGUGGUCAUGAAUGCAAUUGUUGCAAGAAUAAUUUAUCCCCCCUGAUAGCAAGGGAAAUAGCAGGUGUUUAAAGCUGGAGACAAGAAUGGUAGAAAAGUUGGAUGUUGUUCUACCUGCAGAUUUGAAGGGAAUAUAAGGGUACGUUGUGGUUUUUCUUUAAAUAAGAAGUCUUCACAGUGGUGUUGAUUUUCUUUGGAGAUACAUCAUGUCGUAAGGUGGCACCUAACCAGAAAGAUUUUGAUUUCUCGUGCAUCUUUUGGUACUGAAUUAUCUUAUCCUGUGAGCAGUGGUAAAAAUGGGUUUCCUUAAUGGUGCAGUUAAGAUAUAUGAGGAAUUCUCUAAUUAUUUAAACUGGGUUUUGACUGCCAUUAUUCUUACCUUUUUCAGCUUUGUAUUCAGCAUAAUUGUGCCUUUGAUAGUUUUUUGGAUAGCGUAAUAUCGGACUCGGAAACCAGUCCUUUUGUCUUUUUCCCCGUUUCUCACUCAUUUCGGAUAUAAGUGACGGCAUUGUUUAAACACGUGUGAACUCCAGUUUCACAAAUCUCUUUAACAUCAGUAUGAUGGACUAGGCAGUGGCUUUGCCCUUUUCAUUAGUCAUAAAGCUUAGAUUAUUAGCCUGCAUACUCUGUUCAUGAUACUUACAUAAUAGAUAGAUAAAGCUUUUGGAGUCACAGCACUGCUAAAGGCAUUAAUUUUUUUUUUUUUUUUUUUCAUUUUUUAAAAAUUAUCAUCAUCAAUUGUUGAAAAACUAGAUGUGGACCACAUUGUCCAUUUAUUGUGCACUUUUUCUUAAAUAUUACCAGUUUUUAACUAGUAAAGGGCCCUUUACGUGACUUGGAAGAUGCCAUCAUUGUAAGGCUCAUAGCAAUUAGUUAAUUGAUUUCUUAGGCACAUUUGAUCAUGAUUUUUAAGUAUUGAAUCUUACCCCUUUAAUAAUGAAUAAGUGUUAACCAAAUUUGGUUACUUCAAUCUGAAGUGAUUGUCUAGAGCAUUUGACAGGUAAUUUAUUGUAACUUCCUCCUAGUAAAUGAAGUAAAUGAUAGAUCUUUCUUCAACCAGACAAUAGUUAAAACUGUUGGUAAGGUUUAGAUUGUAAUUUGUGAUAUUUGGUUUAAGUUCUUUGCCAGUAUUGUACUUGUAGUGUAGGAUAGCUGUUGUAUGCAGGAUGAGCUUAGUCUGUGGAACUGAUUGGGCUUAGAAAUUACUUCAUUUAUAAGAGAAAAAAAGAGAGGAAGAAUAGACAAAAAGAAAAAAAAGAAAAAAAAAGGGAUGAGUACCCUUACUUUUUUUCUUCAUUGCAUUUUUAUUCAAUACAGUUUUAGUUUCCUUGCAUUUCCUCAGUUUCCAAAAUUAUUCAUGAUCGUUGACUGCACACAAGACAGUAGCUGAAUAUAGUGAAAUUACAUUGAUCGUCAGCUCAAUUAUGGGAAAAAAAAACAAAAAGAAAAAUUCAUGAAUACACUGAAUAAAAUGAGAAAUGUGGUGCUGUGUUACAAGGCCUAAAUGUCUAGAUGAAUGGAGUAACACAUUAACCAGAUUUAUUUGAUUUAGUAUUAUAUAUAUAUAUAUAUAUUUUUUUUUUUUCCAUGAUUUACUUUGAAAGAGGGAGGGUUUGCAUAGAGAUUAGUAGCUUGGAUGGGAAAACAGAGAGACUAUAUUAUGUAGACUGAAUGCAUUACUUAUGUGUAUAUUUGUGAAUGAUUGAAUGUAGUAAUUUGUGUGUUCAAUUUUGUGCUUUAUGAAGUUGAUGGUUAUAUAUUUUUUUGUUCUUCGGGUCAGCCUCAUAUUAAUGUAAAACUUUUGCAUGGUCACAGGGUCGCAUUUGUUGGAUAUUCAGUUUUCGAAGAGGGAAGUAUGUCUCUGCGGCAUUGUUGAAUUUAUUAAUUCCAUGAUUGUAUUGCAAAGGGGAAAAAUGGCAUGGUGUUUGCUCAGCAGUGACACUGAGGGGCUUGUAUUUUGCUCCAUGUAUAGGUCACAAUUCUUUUUUUCUGCAAGGGAAAGAUCUGCAUAUUACAAUGAUUUACAUAAUGGCCAUUAUAUGUUGGGUAAUUUUAUACUUCUCAUUUGUUUUCUGUUACUGAUCUUAUUCAAGAUUCCUUGUGCAUCUUUAUUUUUGUUAUUUAGAAACCUGUAAUUGCAGAAUUGAUCUUUUUAUAUGAAUCUAGGGGUUACACUUAUCUUGUAUUUUUGUGAUAUAUCAUUUGAUUUAGUCCUUAAUUUGUGCUGUUAUAAUUAAAGUGUUGAAGAUAUUUGAAGAUCUGGUAAAUAUAUGUUAAAGUGAGAUGAGUGUACAUAUGUAUGACCAAAUAUGUAUAAUUUUCUAUGAGGAAAAUAAAUGUUUAAGGAAUUGA